This 570-nucleotide unclassified non-coding RNA is filed under the name Hevea brasiliensis (rubber tree). Lineage: Eukaryota; Viridiplantae; Streptophyta; Magnoliopsida; Malpighiales; Euphorbiaceae. The record is from RNAcentral.
CAAAACUAAAUGUAAUACAGUAACUCUUCUAUGAUGACUCUAAACCUAUGGGAACAUGCACUCCUAAACUCUUAAUCUGUGUUGGACUUGGAUCCUUAAUAGAAAAACGUGAAACUAGGAGAAAACCUAAAGAAAAGUUACACAUUAAUGAUUGAUUUGAAACUUGUAAACCUAAAAGAAGAAAUUUUGACACCUAUUUUACCUACUUCUGGUAAACUUAGAAACGAUAUAACAUGUGCCUGAAAAUUUUAAAUAUUCAAUAUUUUGUUGGUCGGGUCUGGAUGUUCUAUGACUGAUGGCAUCUUCAUUGGAUACACAAAGUGAGUAAUAGCUAUGCAUGUCAGAUUCUUCCCUUGUAUUUUUUGUGAUUUUGACCGACUGCUAGGGAAAAUUUGUUAGUGAGAAAGUUUGCUUACAAUUACUACAACUGAAGCUAGGUUAUGUCUUACUCAAGCCACAUAUAAUAGGAGGUCCCAAAUAUGUGAGAGGUAUCCAGCUGUGCUGCUCCUAACCAUUAUCUAUUAGGUCAAACUUCUUUUCAUCAAAUAUUGAUUAUAUGAUCUGUGGAAG